RNAcentral lists this small RNA (30 nucleotides) under Bombyx mori (domestic silkworm). RNAcentral describes it as "ovarian small RNA-16569". Lineage: Eukaryota; Metazoa; Arthropoda; Insecta; Lepidoptera; Bombycidae. The record is from RNAcentral.
GCAUUCGCGAAGCAGCCUCCCUUGAGUAGU